RNAcentral lists this small nucleolar RNA (104 nucleotides) under Microcebus murinus (gray mouse lemur). Its description in RNAcentral is "Small nucleolar RNA U13 (ENSMICG00000046321.1)". It matches the Rfam family "Small nucleolar RNA U13". The record is from Rfam by way of RNAcentral. Lineage: Eukaryota; Metazoa; Chordata; Mammalia; Primates; Cheirogaleidae.
AUCCUUUCGUAGCUCAUAAGCAUGAUGAUUGGGUGUUCACGCGGAUGUGUGAGAUGUGCCUCCCUCAAACCUUGUUACAUCAUCGGCACAUUACCUGUCCGACG